This 270-nucleotide ribosomal RNA is filed under the name uncultured archaeon. RNAcentral describes it as "partial 16S ribosomal RNA". It matches the Rfam family "Archaeal small subunit ribosomal RNA", at positions 477 to 747 of the family's 1478-position model. The record is from RNAcentral.
CAGCACCUCAAGUGGUCAGGAUGAUUAUUGGGCCUAAAGCAUCCGUAGCUCGUUUUGUAAGUUUUCGGUUAAAUCCAUGCGCUUAACGUAUGGGCUGCCGGGAAUACUGCAUAACUAGGAAGUGGGAGAGGUAGACGGUACUCGGUAGGAAGGGGUAAAAUCCUUUGAUCUAUUGAUGACCACCUGUGGCGAAGGCGGUCUACCAGAACACGUUCGACAGUGAGGGAUGAAAGCUGGGGGAGCAAACCGGAUUAGAUACCCGAGUAGUCC